UAGAAGACCACUUCACAGGAAGCUUGUGCUGACGGCCUGAGAUAUGAUCUCUGAGAUGCGGUCAUUCCUCACCUGAGUCAUUAUUGGAGGGACGGUUCUGACAGGGUUCUCCGAAACCCCUCACACAACACCCCCCCACCCCCACCCACACCCCUACACCCCCGGCUUCAGCAGAAGUUCAGAGAAACGACCACAGCAAAUCUUCCAGUGUAAGCGGGGCGUAAUGAGGGCGUGAGCGGUGGGCAGGCGUUUUAAUUUCCACAGUGAUGUACAGCCCCUCUCUGGGGUCCCACCGCUCACCCACACUGCCUUCUGGGUAACACGGCGAUGGUGCUGCUCUACACUGUGUUUGACUGCAGACAGUUAGAAGGCGAUAAAACACUCAUUGUCAAAAAUAGCGGGACCCAGAAGGAUUCUUCAGCAGGGCACAGGAGCUUGAGUGUUAACCUUCUUCUGGAUGUGUGUGUGUGUGUGUGUGUGUGUAUGUAUGUGUGUGUGUCAGCGUGUGUGCAUUUGUGUGGGGGAUGAAUCAGUAUAUAUAUGUGUGUGUGUGUGUGUGUGAGACACUCAUCAUGCAGUCUGCGAUUGAUGCUCUGCCUCUCGCCCUCAAUGUCACCAGCGACACAUCCGUCUCCGGGGGAAACGGGAGGUGUGAGUGUGUGCGAGUGUGUGUGUGUGUGUGUGUGUGUGUGUGUGACAGGUCUAAAUCCUCUCUGCCGUGCAGAAGGACAUGUGGGUUGCAGAUGCCC
Astyanax mexicanus (Mexican tetra) is the source of this 749-nucleotide long non-coding RNA. RefSeq lists it as uncharacterized. NCBI's taxonomy places the organism in Eukaryota, Metazoa, Chordata, Actinopteri, Characiformes, Acestrorhamphidae. The transcript has 3 exons. The record is from RefSeq and is a predicted model, not a curated record.